GUAGGUGAACCUGCGGAAGGAUCAUUAACAAAUGUAAUCCAAUUACCAACCACACUGUGCACUGUUAACGUAUGCUUUUGUAGGGAGUGAAAGUCUUUCGAUCUGCCAGAGUUUUUUAAAUACUAAACAAACAAACAUCUUAUUAUCUGACUGAACUUCAUUUAAACAAAUAAAAAUACAACUUUUAACAAUGGAUCUCUUGGCUCUU
This 208-nucleotide unclassified non-coding RNA is filed under the name rhizosphere metagenome. RNAcentral describes it as "partial ribosomal RNA internal transcribed spacer region". The record is from RNAcentral.